CGAAGGAUCCAAGCGUUGUCCGGAUUUACUGGGUUUAAAGGGUGCGUAGGCGGACUUUUAAGUCAGUGGUGAAAGCUUGCAGCUUAACUGUAAAAUUGCCAUUGAAACUGAAAGUCUCGAGUGUGGUUGAGGUAACUGGAAUAUAUCAUGUAGCGGUGAAAUGCUUAGAUAUGAUAUAGAACACCAAUUGCGAAGGCAGGUUACUGAGCCACAACUGACGCUGAGGCACGAAAGCGUGGGGAUCAAACAGGAUUAGAUACCCUGGUAGUCCACGCCGUAAACGUUGAAUACUCGAUCUUAGCGAUACACAGUUAGGAUCCAAGCGAAGGCGUUAAGUAUUCCACCUGGGAAGUACGUUCGCAAGAAUG
This 368-nucleotide ribosomal RNA is filed under the name uncultured organism. RNAcentral describes it as "bacterial SSU rRNA". It matches the Rfam family "Bacterial small subunit ribosomal RNA", at positions 526 to 896 of the family's 1533-position model. The record is from RNAcentral.